Molecule: ribosomal RNA, 27 nt
Filed under: Chrysophyceae sp.
Lineage: Eukaryota; Chrysophyceae
Description: partial 28S ribosomal RNA
Source: RNAcentral
GGACCUCCAAUUAGAUAAGAGUACCCG